This 274-nucleotide ribosomal RNA is filed under the name uncultured bacterium. RNAcentral describes it as "partial 16S ribosomal RNA". It matches the Rfam family "Bacterial small subunit ribosomal RNA", at positions 523 to 796 of the family's 1533-position model. The record is from RNAcentral.
AUACGGAGGGUGCAAGCGCUAAUCGGAAUUACUGGGCGCAAAGGGCGCGUAGGCGGUCUAUCAAGUCAGGUGUGAAAUCCCACGGCUCAACCGUGGAGGUGCAUCUGAAACUGAUAGACUUGAGUAUGGGAGAGGAAAGUGGAAUUCCCGGUGUAGAGGUGAAAUUCGUAGAUAGCGGGAGGAACACCAGUGGCGAAGGCGACUUUCUGGACCAAUACUGACGCUGAGGCGCGAAAGCGUGGGGAGCAAACAGGAUUAGAUACCCUAGUAGUCC